GGGUGCCUACGGGGGGCAGCAGUGAGGAAUAUUGGUCAAUGGGCGGGAGUCUGAACCAGCCAAGCCGCGUGAAGGAAGAAGGCGCCAAGCGUCGUAAACUUCUUUUGUCGGGGAACAAAGGGCGCCACGUGUGGCGUUGUGAGCGUACCCGAAGAAAAAGCAUCGGCUAACUCCGUGCCAGCAGCCGCGGUAAUACGGAGGAUGCGAGCGUUAUCCGGAUUUAUUGGGUUUAAAGGGUGCGUAGGCGGUCCGGAAAGUCAGCGGUAAAAGCCCGGGGCUCAACCCCGGCGAGCCGUUGACACUGG
Molecule: ribosomal RNA, 305 nt
Filed under: uncultured bacterium
Lineage: Bacteria
Description: bacterial SSU rRNA
Rfam family: Bacterial small subunit ribosomal RNA
Source: RNAcentral